UCGAUAGGUCUGGGUAAUCUUUUGAAUACGUAUCGUGCUAGGGAUAGAUUAUUGCAAUUAUUAAUCUUGAACGAGGAAUUCCUAGUAAACGCAAGUCAUCAGCUUGCAUUGAUUACGUCCCUGCCCUUUGUACACACCGCCCGUCGCACCUACCGAUUGAAUGACUCGGUGAAGUAUUGGGACUGUGAAUUUGUGUGCUUCAUUGCAUGCAAGUUUGUGGGAACUUUCCUUAACCUCGCCAUUUAGAGGAAGGUGAAGUCGUAACAAGGUUUCCGUAGGUGAACCUGCGGAAGGAUCAUUA
Molecule: ribosomal RNA, 301 nt
Filed under: Saprolegnia parasitica CBS 223.65
Lineage: Eukaryota; Oomycota; Saprolegniomycetes; Saprolegniales; Saprolegniaceae
Description: partial 18S ribosomal RNA
Rfam family: Eukaryotic small subunit ribosomal RNA
Source: RNAcentral